CUAUCCCUAGUUUCGGUUACUAAAGAUAGACAAAUCUAUAUUUUUGUCCUUACUUACGUUCCAAUAACCUAUCGACGGGCAGCAGUUCCUUUCGGAUUUAUCUAUCCAUCGUCGGGAGGACGGAUAGCCUGCUAAAGAUAGAACGCUCAUACAAAUCGUGCUUACUUCCGUUUCAAUAUGAGUUUUAAGUAACUCUCCGGUAGGCGGCGCUAUCUCUAGUAUGGGCAUUCGCUUAUCUGUCAAAAUCGGCCGGUUACAUGUUUAUCUUUCGAAAGUAAAUCGCUAUAAUUUAAUAAUUGUUUCUCUUCAUAUUGGCAUAUUGUAGCAGUGAUGAUAGUGAUAUGGAAUUAUUUCAAAUGAUAAUGGAUUGUGAUGCAGAUUGUGAUAGUGAGACCGAUAUCAUAUGGUUAGGAAAAUAAAGAUCGUCUGAAUUACAUGGCGAAGAUCAAUAAUUACGAAUUUGACUAUAGAUUUCUGAGCAAAGGUGUUGUGAAUGAAUUGAUUAAUUUAAUGAGACCAUAUUUGAGUGUAACGUCAAAAAGAUUCAAAUAUAGGAGAGGAAUUUAGAAACAGAAAAAGGGUAUUUUGAAUGUGUAAUUUAUGUGCAAUGCAUCAUUGAUGUUUCAAAAUGUUGUUGCUUGAUGGCCUGGGUCUACUCAUGAUACAACUAUAAUUAACCAUUCCGAUUGAAAAGAUGCAUUGGUGUUUGUAAAAGAAGACUCCCUGUAUAUCAUUGAAAAGUAGAUUUAAACUAGAAAAUAUGCAAGCUGUUAUUAUAGCUGCCAUGCUGCAUAAUAUCGUCAGAAGUAUGAAUUUAGAAUAAUUAGAAUCAGAAAUUUCAGUCGCAGAUACAUUACAGGAAAAUAAUAUAAUUGUUCGUAACAAUUUUUCAAAACUUACAUCUGAAAUACAACUAUGUACUUAUAAAUAAUUGCUUCCAAAGAUAAUUUAUAAAAUAAACUCCAAAGAUAA
This is a long non-coding RNA of Bombyx mori (domestic silkworm), 972 nucleotides long. RefSeq lists it as uncharacterized. NCBI's taxonomy places the organism in Eukaryota, Metazoa, Arthropoda, Insecta, Lepidoptera, Bombycidae. The transcript is spliced from 3 exons. The record is from RefSeq and is a predicted model, not a curated record.